GCUUGUCUCAAAGAUUAAGCCAUGCAUGUCUAAGUAUAAACGAAUUUAUACUGUGAAACUGCGAAUGGCUCAUUACAUCAGUUAUAGUUUAUUUGAUGGUCCUUGCUACUUGGAUAACCGUAGUAAUUCUAGAGCUAAUACAUGCAUAAAACCCUAACUUCUGGAAAGGGUGUAUUUAUUAGAUGGAAACCAAUGCGGGGUAACCCGGAAUAUGGUGAUUCAUAAUAACUUUCGGAUCGAUUUAUCGAUGCAUCAUUCAAGUUUCUGCCCUAUCAGCUUUGGAUGGUAGGGUAUUGGCCUACCAUGGCUUUAACGGGUAACGGAGAAUUAGGGUUCGAUUCCGGAGAGGGAGCCUGAGAAACGGCUACCACAUCCAAGGAAGGCAGCAGG
Molecule: ribosomal RNA, 390 nt
Filed under: uncultured Chrysophyceae
Lineage: Eukaryota; Chrysophyceae
Description: partial small subunit ribosomal RNA
Rfam family: Eukaryotic small subunit ribosomal RNA
Source: RNAcentral